UCCCUUGGUAGGGGCAUGCAGAAGACCUGAUGACACAAACCCUCCAAAGAGUUUCACCCUCACCACAACAGGUGGCUUCCUGCUCGGCAGCCCAUCCUGCAUCACUUCAGUGGACUUCUCUGACAUCUACUAGACCACAUUAAAUGAAUCACAGCCUUGAAACUGAACUGGAAGGACUUCCUUCAAGAUUUUUAUCUAAUUCCUGUUGGACAGUGUAAAAUGCCACUUCUUCCAGGGUUGCCUGCAUAUCAUCAAAAGGGAAAUAGUACUCAUCGAAGAUGUGCCUUUGCUAGGAACUAGGACAAGGGUGGCCUUUAUAAAUUCAUGAAGAGAAGGAGCCAGCAUAUGAACUUGCUGCCUAUCUUUAGCAAGGAGAUGCAAAUGACAUCCACAAACCUCUUCUGCUGUAUACCUGGAUGAAAGCAAGGCUAGCUGUGUGUCCUAUGGCACCAAGGACUGAAAGAUUGUAAGAAGUAAGAUGACCUACAUCCAAAGUGAAAAGUUAUUCAGCCUCUGAAGAGAAGCAUUUUGUUUGGGGAUCUUCAAGUAUGCUUGUCAGCACCGAGAACUGGAAAAAAAUCUCUGAUUGUCCUGCAGCAAUGGCAUUAAAGGCUCCUCAUAACAUACAGAACCAGAAUUGUGCCAUAAUUUACUGAAAUUGAACAUUGCUCUGUGACUGCUAAUUUUCCAUCGAGAUGAUUCUGUCUCUAACCAAGAAAAGAAAAGUUUGUCUUCCUGACUGCUGACACUGCUGACCAAGCCCACCACCAGAUGCCUGGCUGCACACCCAGAGGGCAGCCGCUUCCCGUGGUCCUCUCGAAGAACUUCCCUUUUGCAAUGCAUGUUUAGCAAGUGGAUGAGUUUGUCUUUUCUGAUUUCUCUGCAAGCUCUGCAUUGCCCACCUGAACCAGUGCUUCAGAAGAACUAAUGGGAUCUCUGACCCUCCAACAUCCUCUUCCAGACUUUCACUUUCCUGGCUCCUUGCAGGGACAUGUAAUAAACGUGCUCUCCAGAGAAA
RNAcentral lists this long non-coding RNA (1018 nucleotides) under Homo sapiens (human). RNAcentral's name for it is "long intergenic non-protein coding RNA 1065". Lineage: Eukaryota; Metazoa; Chordata; Mammalia; Primates; Hominidae. The record is from RNAcentral.